CGGAGAGUAGCUCAGCUUAGUAGAGCGCUGGCUUCGGGUGUCAGAGGUCGCAGGUGCGAAUCCUGUCUCUCCGA
This 74-nucleotide transfer RNA is filed under the name Planctomycetota bacterium. RNAcentral's name for it is "Planctomycetes bacterium (marine metagenome) tRNA-Pro". It matches the Rfam family "tRNA". From Rfam's summary of the family: Transfer RNA (tRNA) molecules are approximately 80 nucleotides in length. Their secondary structure includes four short double-helical elements and three loops (D, anti-codon, and T loops). Lineage: Bacteria; Pseudomonadati; Planctomycetota. The record is from RNAcentral.